UCCCUGGUGUCUCUGACGGUAAAGAAUCUGCCUGCAGUGCAGAAGACCCAGGUUCAAUCCCUGGGUCGGGAG
Ovis aries (sheep) is the source of this 72-nucleotide non-coding RNA. The record is from Rfam. NCBI's taxonomy places the organism in Eukaryota, Metazoa, Chordata, Mammalia, Artiodactyla, Bovidae.